Molecule: ribosomal RNA, 534 nt
Filed under: uncultured bacterium
Lineage: Bacteria
Description: bacterial SSU rRNA
Rfam family: Bacterial small subunit ribosomal RNA
Source: RNAcentral
AAUAGAUACCCAGGUAGUCCACGCCGUAAACGAUGCUAACUCGUUUUUGGGCCUUUGGGUUCAGAGACUAAGCGAAAGUGAUAAGUUAGCCACCUGGGGGGUACGUUCGCAAGAAUGAAACUCAAAGGAAUUGACGGGGGCCCGCACAAGCGGUGGAUUAUGUGGUUUAAUUCGAUGAUACGCGAGGAACCUUACCAAGGCUUAAAUGGGAAAUGACAGGCUUAGAAAUAGGCUUUUCUUCGGACAUUUUUCAAGGUGCUGCAUGGUUGUCGUCAGCUCGUGCCGUGAGGUGUUAGGUUAAGUCCUGCAACGAGCGCAACCCCUGUCACUAGUUGCCAUCAUUAAGUUGGGGACUCUAGUGAGACUGCCUACGCAAGUAGAGAGGAAGGUGGGGAUGACGUCAAAUCAUCACGGCCCUUACGCCUUGGGCCACACACGUAAUACAAUGGCCAGUACAGAGGGCAGCUACACAGCGAUGUGAUGCAAAUCUCGAAAGCUGGUCUCAGUUCGGAUUGGAGUCUGCAACUCGACUCU